CUACGGGGGGCUGCAGUGAGGAAUUUUGCGCAAUGGGGGGAACCCUGACGCAGCAACGCCGCGUGAGUGAUGAAGGCUUUCGGGUCGUAAAGCUCUGUCAAGUGGGAAGAACCUAUGCAGUGUUAAUAUCACUGUAUACUGACGGUACCACUGAAGGAAGCACCGGCUAACUCCGUGCCAGCAGCCGCGGUAAUACGGGGGGUGCAAGCGUUAUUCGGAAUCAUUGGGCGUAAAGGACACGUAGGCGGCUUGGUAAGUCAGAUGUGAAAGCCCGGGGCUUAACCCCGGAAGUGCAUUUGAUACUGUCAGGCUUGAGUAUGGGAGAGGGAAGUGGAAUUCCUGGUGUAGAGGUGAAAUUCGUAGAUAUCAGGAGGAACACCGGUGGCGAAGGCGACUUCCUGGACCAAUACUGACGCUGAGGUGCGAAGGCGUGGGUAGCAAACAGGAUUAGAUACCCUCGUAGUC
RNAcentral lists this ribosomal RNA (465 nucleotides) under uncultured bacterium. RNAcentral describes it as "partial 16S ribosomal RNA". It matches the Rfam family "Bacterial small subunit ribosomal RNA", at positions 339 to 795 of the family's 1533-position model. The record is from RNAcentral.